UUUGAAGAGUAAUAAAAAAAU
Caenorhabditis elegans is the source of this 21-nucleotide non-coding RNA. Lineage: Eukaryota; Metazoa; Nematoda; Chromadorea; Rhabditida; Rhabditidae. The record is from Ensembl.